This is a long non-coding RNA of Sorghum bicolor (sorghum), 468 nucleotides long. RefSeq lists it as uncharacterized. Lineage: Eukaryota; Viridiplantae; Streptophyta; Magnoliopsida; Poales; Poaceae. The transcript is spliced from 2 exons. The record is from RefSeq and is a predicted model, not a curated record.
UCUUCGAUGAGAUUGGUUCCCUAUGAAAAUUGUAUUAUACUGAAAGCUACUAAAACAUGGAUAGCUCUUGACACAUUUUGCUUGCAGUGCAACUAUAUAAGCCUCUAGAAAUUACAUUUCUACAUUCUUGAUAAAUAUCUUCAGGUUUAUAAAGCCUUGGAAAUUUGACACUGGGAACUGGGAAGGUGAUCCAAAUGAGGGCUAUAAGAUGCAUGUAUAUGGGAGGCCAAAGAAGGGAAGGCAUAUCAGUAGGCGAGAGGAAUAUCAAAGAGAUUGAUAGGUGCAGAAUGGAGGGGACACUCGGACUGGUGCUCCAUCGGCAUGGCAUACGCUGAUACAUGUUAGCGUGGGAUGUUGCAAUUGUGUGUACUCUAUGACACUAUGUGUGCCUCGAGUGCGACGAAACCUCACCUUGGCUCGCUGUGCGAGUCACCUUGUGAAUGAAUAAUUGAAUAUAAUUUGAUUGUA